This 468-nucleotide ribosomal RNA is filed under the name uncultured bacterium. RNAcentral describes it as "partial 16S ribosomal RNA". It matches the Rfam family "Bacterial small subunit ribosomal RNA", at positions 28 to 507 of the family's 1533-position model. The record is from RNAcentral.
GACGAACGCUGGCGGCGUGCUUAACACAUGCAAGUCGAACGGAAAGGCCCUGCUUUUGUGGGGUGCUCGAGUGGCGAACGGGUGAGUAACACGUGAGUAACCUGCCCUUGACUUUGGGAUAACUUCAGGAAACUGGGGCUAAUACCGGAUAGGAGCUCCUGCUGCAUGGUGGGGGUUGGAAAGUUUCGGCGGUUGGGGAUGGACUCGCGGCUUAUCAGCUUGUUGGUGGGGUAGUGGCUUACCAAGGCUUUGACGGGUAGCCGGCCUGAGAGGGUGACCGGGCACAUUGGGACUGAGAUACGGCCCAGAAUCCUACGGGAGGCAGCAGUGGGGAAUAUUGCACAAUGGGCGGAAGCCUGAUGCAGCAACGCCGCGUGCGGGAUGACGGCCUUCGGGUUGUAAACCGCUUUCGCCUGUGACGAAGCGUGAGUGACGGUAAUGGGUAAAGAAGCACCGGCUAACUACGUG